RNAcentral lists this ribosomal RNA (492 nucleotides) under uncultured bacterium. RNAcentral describes it as "partial 16S ribosomal RNA". It matches the Rfam family "Bacterial small subunit ribosomal RNA", at positions 29 to 507 of the family's 1533-position model. The record is from RNAcentral.
AGUGAACGCUGGCGGUAGGCCUAACACAUGCAAGUCGAACGGCAGCACAGUAAGAGCUUGCUCUUACGGGUGGCGAGUGGCGGACGGGUGAGGAAUACAUCGGAAUCUACUUUUUCGUGGGGGAUAACGUAGGGAAACUUACGCUAAUACCGCAUACGACCUACGGGUGAAAGCAGGGGAUCUUCGGACCUUGCGCGAUUGAAUGAGCCGAUGUCGGAUUAGCUAGUUGGCGGGGUAAAGGCCCACCAAGGCGACGAUCCGUAGCUGGUCUGAGAGGAUGAUCGGCCACACCGGAACUGAGACACGGACCAGACUCCUACGGGAGGCAGCAGUGGGGAAUAUGAGACAAUGGGCGCAAGCCUGAUCCAGCCAGACCGCGUGGGUGAAGAAGGCCUUCGGGUUGUGAAGCCCGUUUGUUGGGAGAGAAAAGCAGCAGGUUAAUACCCCGCUGUUCUGACGGUACCCAAAGAAGAAGCACCGGCUAACUUCGUG